Molecule: non-coding RNA, 15792 nt
Organism: Zonotrichia albicollis (white-throated sparrow)
Lineage: Eukaryota; Metazoa; Chordata; Aves; Passeriformes; Passerellidae
Source: RefSeq, a predicted model, not a curated record
GCCAGGUUUUUUUCCUACUUCUUUUGUAGUUAGAUAAAUUCUGGUAUUUGAAGCUUUAAUCAAUCCUUUUGAGACUACUUGUGCAUUAUUGCAGGACACCAUCUGGGAUUUGAGCAGCAUAACUCACUCCUACACCAUCAUUCUCCAAGUAACUGAAGUUAAUAGAGAUUAGAUAGCUACAUUAGCUUACUCAAUAUCAUUUGUUUCAGGGUUGGAUUUAGUGUUUCCUGUGUUGUAAUAACUGCAGUCAUCUACAAAGUACCCACACAAAGCCUUACAAUGAUCUGUGCAGAGCAAGACUGAUUCAGCUUCAAGAGCUUGAAGUCAAAACAGAGAUGCAGAGACACAAAGAUGGGAACUAAAAAAACAGCAUUAUAAGCUACACAAAAUUAAAAGGAAAACCCUGAGAAGGCACAAGAGAUAUUUAACCUUGUUGUUGUCUUGCUGUUAUCUUUCAUAUUUCUAAAUUCCCAUACUGUCACAAUCAUAUUUCUAGAGUCCCAUACCUUCUCAGCAAUAUUUCUUGGGGGCAGUUCUUCACAGCACAGACUUGGUCUUCUGGUUGUUGCUGCUUCUCAGCCAGGGCUCCUGACAGGCCAACCCACCCCCUUUAUCCCAGUUAUCUUCACUAGCCACAGUUGCAGCCCAUCAAGAAGAACCAGGUCUUAUCAGGGCAAGGCCUGUAUACAAAUAUUCAAAUAUAGUACAGAUAUUUUACUAGGACUCCUACUAUAUGCCCUUAUCCAAACACCUAAACAAAGUAAUACAGAAAAAAAUCUAGCUUGAUGGAACUACCCACUUACAUAAUGCUCCUCAGGCAUAAAUGUUUGCAGAAUAAGGAUCAUACUGAACAAAUCAUUGUAAUGAAGUUAAACUACCUUUUCAAUUCAGAGAUUAGUCUUCGAGCAUCUCUCAUGAACAAUAUUUGGCUUCUCACAAGAGGAGUUUCAUCACAAUCUUCCUUGUUAAACUUUUAAUGUUCCACAGUGUAACACAUAGCAGGAAAGAUCCUGCUGUCUUAGAAAUUGGAAGCAGUAGACCCAGGCUGCCACAAAUGACAAUCCAGGUGGUGAACAGGGAACUUGAAAAACUUGGCUAUGUGCAAUUCCAUUGCAUAGGUUGUUCCUUUCUCUGUGCUCCCUUAAGAGCCUAAUACUACUGGGGUUUAGUCUGUGGUUGCUUUUCAAAUGAAAGCAAUGCCAAACUCCUAUAUAAGUUCAGAAUGGAGUACUGAGUCUGUAAAAUGGAUGUUCUGUUAGAUUUGGAGGGAAAUGCAAUGACAGCCCAUGCUUUCUUUUUUCAGUGAUUAAACCUUUACUUUGUAUAGCACUGAACUUUAUUAAGAGCAGUUAUCAAAAAAUAUUGUCUUGAAGACAAUAUUCUUGAAGACAACAAGACUUUUUCUUGGGGCAAGACUUUGUUGUAUAACCAAUCAUACUGCAGACCCCAGGAAGGAAAAAGGCUAAUUUUUAGAUUAGUCUUAUGUUAAGACUCAAGAUGUUCCUUGAAAAUGGGUGUUCAGAAAUCUACCCUAAGUCAGAAUGGAAAAAAAAUAUAUUAGAUAAUCAGAGUUUAAUUGAGCUCCAAAAUGUUUUAUAAUGGAUAUAUAGUCUAAAGCUCUCUUCUGUCAUGUAGUCAAAAUUUUCAGAGCUUGAAAAUACACUUAUGCAUAAAAAAUGGUAUCUAAUGCUCAAAAAUACUAUCCUCAAAAUUAUUUUGAAUGUGUUUCUAUGCUCCCUACCUCUGAAAAUCACAUUUCCUAAAGUGCCUAGAUAUGGAUUUAGGGCAUCUAACUGCAUCCACUCAGGCUUGAAAAUUUUAGCCUACCUCUACCUGUGCUUCAUAAUAAAUGUAUCAGAAAGCUUCAGACAAGCUAUAAAAGUAUUCUCAAAAAAGCAAUGCAGACUUGAGCCAUUAGAAAACAAGACACCAACCUAAGAAAGCACUUGACUGUAUAAUUCAGCUCAUUCUGGUAUAUGGAAAGUAGCAUCUGAAGCUCAGCUUCUAACAGACAUCUGUAGUAGAAGGAGAAAAAUUAAUAUUAAUCACCUCCAUAAUAUGGCAGUUUUAUUAUUAAUAUCUUUCCACUGUUCCCAAUCUUCAAGGAACGGCAAAAGUCUCAGUAAGUAGAAAUGCAAAUAUUUAUUGUUGUAGAUCUUUGCACAGAGUACAUUUUGAUGGAUAGGAAGGGUUUUUUUUCGAGAAGCUCUUUUUGUGUUAUCUUCAAUUGGCAUUCAGUAUAACGGUUUACCAAGGGAAAGGACUGAGUACACACCAAAUGCAGUUGGGGCUGUCAUGCUAACCUUGUUGGGAGGCAGGGCUGUGUCAGGCAGGGAAGUUUAAUUUGGGCUCAGAAUCAGAGGGACUGUAUUCCCAAGGAAUGAAAUAUCUUCGAAGGCAGAGUUAGGGUAAAACUCGAAGGCUGCUCACUCUCUGGACAGUUGAUAUGAAUAACUGCAUGGGAUAACUGCAUUGCUUUUCCAUAUUACCCACAGUACAGCAAAUAUUGUUGAGUUUAUGCCAGUUUUUUAGCUGCAAAAAAUUAGGGAAUCAAAAAUUAAAUCCUAAUGAAAGCAUAAGCCUUUCUUCCAUCAGUGCAGGAUCACUUCCACCCCUUAAAGUCAUCUCUUGCUGGAACCAACAACCCUGCCAAAACCAAAGGAUGCUUCUGAUACUGAAAAUAAACCUAAAGCAUUAAAUGAAAAUCAGCGAAAACCACAUCCUAGCAGAAGUGAACUUGACUGGUGGGGCUUCCUGCAUAGCAGUGUCACUCUAGAUUACUGCACAGAAUUGAAAUGCUUGCACUGUCACAGAAUUGGUGACCAUAAACUUCAUUUAGCUCUCCGUGCCCCACACCUUACCUACGCUGAUGGUGGACAUGUGCCAAAAAGCUAACUUGAUAACCUAAAUAUUGCAAUUUAUACCAAACAUACAUAUUGCAGUGCAGCUACAGAACGACUGCAGAAGAAGCCAGAAGACGACCUGGGUUCUGCAGGGGAACUGCAAACCAUGACUCGCUGAACAAAUCAAAGCCUUAACUUUGCAGGUUAUUCUGUGUGGGCAAUAGAUUGUACCAGUGUCAACAUCAAACAACUUGCAGGAUCAACACCCACCAGAGGAAGAGCUGUGUAACUAGUGACACCGAGGUGAAACUGAAACUGAGAAAAAUACCUUACUACCAAAUACAGAAGAAAGCAAUGCAAUGAAAACACUUACUCAGUUCUGUGAAAUUAUCACAUGCUUUUCAUCAAAAUAGCUGGAGGAAAGCCAAUACAGAACUGCUGGAGAAAGCACUGCGGAGAGGGCAUCACACCGUGUACUAAAUAAAAGAUUUGGUGUUGGGCAAAUAAUAAAAAAUCCCAAACCAAAAUGAUGUCUUAUGCUGCCUAGAUUGAACCUCCUGCAGAAAGGUAGGUGAAUUUGCUUCCUUCACAUUUUGGCAAUAUUUACUGUGUUGGUUGUACAAGUAGGGAAUGAUUGUAACACAGUAGCCCUAAUGUUUUUCUGUGCUUUGGAUAAAACAUGCAACUGUUUAUCAUCAAUCUAAACAAUAACUUUACUUCUUGCCCCACUGCCAGGAAAAAGGCAGUCGUAGAAAUCCCAAAGCACUAUUGCACUAUUAUUGUUCUUUUCUUCAAUAGCAUUUUCUCUCAGUUUCAACAUUUGUUGCUGUGCAAAGUUUUGUGUAAAACUAAGGGACAAGAAGCAAAGUUCCUAAGGACAGAAAAUAUGAUUUUAUCACUAAUAUGAACUUGGAAACAUCAUGUUCAUAUGACACAAAAUGCUAAACAGCAUGAGCCUUCUCUAUUGUUCGACACAUUAAAUGGAGAGACUUUAUUGAAGCAGCCUCCACAUGAGGUAUCCCAUCUUGGAGCUUGUAAAACCACUGGAUGGUGUUCCCUGGCCGCUCUGACAAUAGUGCAGCUGUGUGCCCAGGCCAAAUCUGGAUCAGAUUUGCCAGGCAAGACAGACAUGUGCAGUUCUUUUAAUAAAUACUGUGGGGCUGCUACUUAAAAAAGCCCUUCCAAAACAAAAAUAAAAAACAAACAAACAAACAAACAACCCUGAGAUGGAGUUUUAAUUUCAUUUUCUGCUCCCUAUGCACCAGUAUAAAUGACUAAAUAGCAUGCAAGUUUUAAAAGAGUCAAGAUAAAUGGUUAAAUUAUUGGACCAGUUCCAUUAAUGCAAACUCUGUAGACUUCAGGCGUCUUUUGCUGACCUAUGCUUAGGGCAGAAGCCAUAGUUUUUAUUAGGUCUACUCGUACUGGACACCAUUUUUCAGACCAAAUGCCCUGUUACUUGAUGUUGGACACUUAACCUGUGCCAGAAAAUCACACGGUUUGAUUUUAUCUCAUAAGGCAAAAGCACUUCAAUAUCUUUUGGCAAUACUUGUUUGGCACAGAAGGUGGAAGGGUAAGGCAGCUGAUAGUUUACUGUCUAAAAUAAUAAAGUCAUCAGACAGGCUGAGGUGGAUGCUAUACAUGAUUCCCUUCUUGCUGACAAGAUUUCACCAUCACUUUUUUCACAUUUUCUAUGUAGGCUCAAUUUCGAGGAAGGUUUGUACAUUGCCGGAACUGACCUGUUUUUAAGUAUUUUGUUGCUCUCCACCACAAAAAACAAAACAAAACACAAACAAAUUCCCCCUCAAAUAAUCUAAUAAAACAAAAACACCUGUCAAGAACAUUCCUUUAAACAAAACUCCAGCCCUCAAAUCCCCAAAUCCAACCCCAUUCCUAUAGCUUUGAAUGCAAUUUCAUGGCCCUUUUUAUUCCCCUACAACCACCCCCUUAAAUGAUAGUUCAGACUUCCACUUUCAUUCUCAGAAGUUAGAACUGUAACUAUUUCCUACCUACAAAAAAAAUAUUAUUGAUCUUGUCCCUUUACAAUUCUGCCAAAAAUUCAAGAGAAUCUGGCCUUGUUCUAAACUUAUUCCCACAUUCCCUUUGCCUCAGCAUUCAGAGACAAAGCAGUCCUCUGGGACAGCAGAGCCUACAAAAACAGGUGUCCCUGCCAAUGGCCAGCUGUUCCCAGUUCUGUCAUUUUUCAAAGGGACAAUUUUUCAGAAAGUAGCCAAGUUCACAUUUGCAUUGCUCUCCACUGGUGUAAUUAUUUAUAUCAUGUUAUAUUGAAACAAAUUUCUCUCAAACCAUGACAGUUUUGGUUUUUUUUUAAUUCACAUGGUGAAAAUGAAAAGAUUUGAUGCCAUAGAAUAUGAAGCCCUUAGAGCUGUCCAGUGCUUUUGUUGAAGUACUUCACAUAGCAAUUCACACUCUCCUUUGAAACAGAUUUUGGCUUCACUUGUGGCACCUGGUUGAAGACAAGCAACAUCUAAAAACCUGAAAUUUCACAAAUGCCUGCCAGGUUGAAGUAGCAAGAUGAUAGGAUACCUUUUCAUUGGUAGCUUGAUAAAAUCAUUAUGAGAACUCCAUUCUUAUUUAAUAUGUAUCUGCCUUUACAGCUGCAUAAAUAUCCUUUUACGUAUACCCUGUGAAUUCACAGCAAGAGGAGUCCAAGAAGAUCCCACACUUGUCCGAGGAAAAGUAAACACUUGAAAAGUAAAGAAAAUAAUCUAAGCUGAAGCUUUAAACAGAUACUCUCUUCCAUAUAAAAACGGGUUUAGAGCUUGAAUAGAAUGUUCAGAAAUAAGGUGUGACUGAAAAUAGAAAAAUAACCUUUGGAAGUUACAUUCUUUUCUGUUUACAGGCUAUUCCCUCUUGCCCUGAAAGGGGACCAGGUAUAGGACAGGUGCAGUUGACAACUGAGGGAACACUUGUUCCUCAGCAAGUCUAUUACUCUGCAGAGCAGCAUUUUUUGCCUUUAACCUGGAUCCUGACAAAUUUUUCGGGGCAUAGUUCAUGUAAAGAAAUCCUGGAAUAUUAAAUUUCACAGUUCCUAGGUGGAUUCCUGACAUGGGUGCUAACAAAAACCUUAAAGCUGGGGGCAAACCUGGUGCCCUGUGCUGUGACUCUCCAAACCUCUCAUGUCCAUGUGGAGCAACUAUUGGGGAUCUCCCUCAGAGAAAUGAAUAUACAGCUUCUAGCAUGUGUGUUUCUCUCACUGUAUGUCAUCCAUAUAUCAGGAGGAUAUCACAACACAAGCAGAUUACCCACAUCAAAUAUUGACUGCAAAAAUCAAGGACUCAUGAGGCAGCACUCAAGUCAGCAAGCAGGCAGGUUUGAAUGGCAGGUAGAGGGAUGCUGCAGGUAUUGCAGGAUGCUGCACCCCAGGGCAGAGCAAGGGGGUGGUCACUGCUCCCUGUGGCACCAGGAGCAGCAGGAGCAGAGAGCUCUGCCUCCCUGCCACAGAGGUAACAUACCCCCACUCAGCUAAUUAGCAGCAUCUCAUCUCUUGAAGGGAAAAACCCCUCUUUGCUCUUGCUGAGCAUCUGCCAAGUUUCUGCUGUCACGCUUUUCUUCUAAUUUGGAAAAGAAAACUACAGUUCUGAUAGCCCUUGUUUGAAAAUUGCUAGCCCCUGUUGUAAUCAGGCAAAACUUUAAAUCACAGCCACCUUGAUUUCAGAAAAGUUUAAUUUGUAGGAUAACUUUCUAUCACCAUUUGGUAGUGCCUUAUUAAUGUAACUGUAAUGUACAGCCCUGCCUUGGACAAUGAUUCUUCUUCUGUUUCCUACAUGUUGGCAGACCACAUGCAGACUCUCAUCCCUGAUCAUUUUAUACUGGCCACAGCAGGACUUUAAAGAGGAUAUAUUUUACUACACAGAUGAGCAAUCAUUUUCAAAUCCUUUUGCAGUAUUUUCCUACCCACUGUGCUUCAAUUCACAAUUUGAUGCCAUUCAAAAAUAGCAGUCUCUUGUCUGUGUAUGAUACUGCAGCCUGUCUUAGGGUAAAUGCUUAAUCUGAAAUCAUCAUCACUUAAUGGUGUAUCUCUUUCCCUGCACUGCAAUUUAAAAGAGUGAUACAAAGAAUAUUUUGGAGAGCUUAGUAUAUGCCUGGCUGAUUAUGUCACUCACUUCUCAUCUCCUGAUCUUUAAUAUAGUUUGGAUUUUGACCCUGUCUGUCCUGUAAAAAUUUGUGUGUAACAUGAAUCAACCACCUAAGGCUAAUGAUGUUCACUCCUAAAGUGGGGUCUCUAUUCUGGUGGCUGAGGUCUGUUUUAUGCACUGUGUUUAAAAAUAUUUUCUGCCUUUCACUGUAAAGCAAAUGAAACAAAUGGAAAUAAUGACUAUGUGGUGAUUGAUGGUGAGGACAGUGGGGUUAGUUUCAUCUUUGUCACUGAUCUUUUACUUAAUUUUGAGAGUUUAACUUAACUUACAUGAAUCAGAACCACUUGUAAAAUAACUAUAAUGCCCUUCACUGACAUCACAAGUGACAAAUCCAGAGAACUUCUGUUGGAUCCAGCUAAAGUGUUCUGAAGCUGCAGCAUCUAAGAAGAGGAUUUGCCCACCCUGCAAAAGAUGCCCUUGUAGCAGCCUAUCAUCCUAUCACAGGCGGAACUGACCUUGCACCUUUCACAUUUCUUUCAAAAUUACCCUGCAGAACCUCAGGAAACACUGACCAAGGAGCCAAACUCUGGGGUAUGGGCUGGAAGGACAAAAGCUUUGCAGAUUGUUGCACACCAAGACACAAUGAAAGGCAGCUAAGCAAGGCUUGAUUUUUAUGUUGACAGUCUACUGUAAUUAGAGGCCAGCCCAGCCCUUCUGGAGGCACUUCAUGGUGGGGACUGCCCUGGAAUAUCCUUUACAUCCCACAGAAAGGACACAAGCACAGGACUCUGGUAUUUCAGAGGUGAUGACUUCUAGCAAGUAUGAAGAAUAUCAUAGCUCAGGACCUCCUAUGGAAAGAAAAAAUUUUUUCCAGACCUCUGCUAAACCCCACAUUUCUGAUUAAACUCGAAAGGAAGAAAAACUUUUACUGAAUUUGAUGACGAUGCUAAGGCUCACCAGUAUUCCCCAGACACUUUGGCAUCCCUCAAAGAGAGAAAGAUUCAGCUUUGCUGGGGAGCUACCUCAAAGUUUUCCUGUUAACCAAGGAAAAACUGUUUGCACUCACCUCUAAGGUCCACUCUUAGAAACAAGGCUCAUGUGCGGCUCCUGCUGUGGGGAACUGCUGUUUUGGCACCAUACAUUCAAGAUGGGAGAUGUUAACUCAUAAUGAAAACACCUGUAUUCAAAGCUUCUGUGCUGAAACAUGCAUCAGAGGAGAGCUCACCACUGCUUUUAGCAGCAAUCCACACAAAAGAAGCCAAGUAGAUGAACAAACCAAAGCACUGCUAAAAGAAGACAGCUGGCAAAUGCAAGUUUACAGUCAGGCUGUUUUUCCUCAGGUGCAACAACACUGACAACCCAUUUGUGGAUACAGGGUGGAAGGGGAAGUUGUGUGCCUCGGCUUUGGCAAUGGCAGUUCUUCCAAAAGCUUCCAAAGAUACAGCCAGAGCCUGUGCUGAUAAACCCAGAGGCAGUGGGAACACUCCUUCUCUUACAGAUACUUGGAGAAUGUCCAGAGUGAAGACUCAUUUACUCCCACAAUGCACUCCAAGAAGUGCUGAAGCCCAGACUGUCAGUCUCAAAUUCCAUUUUGCAUCAUUCUUUAGUAUUUUCAUCUGUUCUUUGAACAACAAUCAUCCCAGUUUUCCCUAAAAGAUUUUCACCUCCUUUCUCCUACACCUUCAUACAGGAAAUGAACUGCCCUCUUUGUAUAGUUUACUCUUCACUCUUGUCUUUCCUGUUCAUGCACUCUGGCUGGCAUUUAGAUCCCUGCAGAGGUGUCUAGGUGACAACACCGCCAAGCAGAUGAGCCUCCUGGAAAUCCUUCCUAUGGUUUCCCCAGCAGGGCCAUUUGGAGCUUUAUCCAAUUAAUUCCUGGUCUCCCCUAUGGCUUCUAGGUCACACAUUUUGCUCCUGAUUCUGAAACACAUACCCCCAUUGGUAAUAUUUUACUUGGGAAAUACAGAUAGCUCCCAGCUAGAACUGGAUUUCACAGAUGAAAACUUUUCAAGACACACCAUUUAAAGGAAGACAAAUUUUAUUUUCUUUGUGCAAUGUUUCCCUGUAAUUAUUAUUAGCAGCAAAGAACAGUUACAUUAAUGCAAUCAAGCUGAAUAAGCAGGUUGUUAUAAGUUUCUCUGGGAGGAAAAAAAGGACAUAAGUCUAUCUUUCAGUAAUGGAUAUUUGUUUUUUAAAUGUCACUGCAGCACUUAAGCUGGCCAGUGGCAACCAUACCACUGACCUGCUUAGAACUGGAAUUGUUGCACCUCUCAUUUUGCACCUUUGAAACAUGCAACCAGCUUACUAGUACUGUUUUGGGCAAUGUUAUAUUCCUACCAGGCAGAGCUGCAAUGGAAAAUCAUGGAUAUCCUGACCUGUUCCACUACUCCUCAGCCACCCUGGAGAGGGAUUGCUGCAACCAGCACGUGCUGGAUAAGGACAAGAGAAGCAUGAUGAACUGAAAAAGCUCACAGCUGCAUGGCUGCAGCAGAAGACAGCAUGCCAUUAACUAACCAGUGGAUACACUACCUUGCCCAAUGUCUAAAUUUACCCUUUCAGACAGGCAAGUACCGGCAUCAAGUCAAAAUCUUAGGGAAUACAUUAAACACUGGUAAUAACACAGCAACAGUACUUAUAACACAUGGGGACAUGGCCUUGAUAUUUUAAGAAAUCCGUGGCUUUUCCACUAAAAACUUUGUGGCUGCUACAAUUUCUAAUUCCCACACUACAUCUGAGUUAAAUUGUUAUGAGUCUCAGAAACUCAUGAAAUUAAUUGGAGCAGUUCACAGCAUCACAAAUGUGUUUUACAUGUCUAGACAAAUCUGAUUAUCAUCAUGCCCUUCAGAAACAUGUUAUAUAUUCCCAGCACAUCAGAUUUUACAUAGCAUUACCAUUAAAUACAGUCUAACUUCAGCUGACAAACCAGAGAAUAAUGAUUAAAUGGUAAUUUACUUGACUUGUAAGAAGUGAAUUACGUACACACCAAGCAAGAUAUUUGACAAUGGCAUCAGACAGCUCUGAAUUAAAAACCCUCCAUUUUAUGUUAAAUGUAUUUUUAAAACCAUUUGCAGUACCAUAAGUAACAUAAAACAAAAAACAAAGUUUUCAUUGCAUUUGUUUUGUGAUUGAGUAGUGUGAAAAAGGCAGACCUAAAUAAAUAAAACCAGAUUGAAGCUCAGGUUAUUACUUGCUGUUUCCCUAUUUUGCAUCUAAAACCAGCAUGCACAAAGCCAUGCCAGAAGCAUCAUAAUCCCUAAUUGUCAAUCACAUAUAAAAACACAGGGACGGCAAUGCUAUAUUCAUAUUUCUAGAGUCCUGUAGCAUCACAAUCAUAUUUCUAAGGUCUCAUACCUUCUCAGUGAUAUUUCUUAGGGGCAGUUCUUCACAGCACAAACUUCUGCAUGCUAUUCCAUCUUAGUCAGGGCUCUUUCCAGGCUCUCCCUGCCCAGCCAAGCCCACCCCCUUUAUCCCAGUUAUCUUCACUAGCCACAGCUGCAGCCCAAUGAAGGACAUGGCAGCUGCAGCCCAUCAAGAAGAACCGGGGCUUAUCAGGGCAAGGCCUGUAUACAGAUAUUCAAAUAUAGUACAGAUAUUUUAGUGGGACUCCUACUAUAGGGCAGUGCAAACCAAAAGUUGGAAAAGGAAUGCUUUACCCAUGCAAAGUCUCAGGUACAAGGCAAUGAGCUCUGCAAUCAGUAAUUCUCCCAAGUUUUGCAAUAUUCUCAAAUAUCACCUCUGUUGGACAACGCCAUUCAGAGGAUACUCAUGCUAUUGUGCAUGCCCUAAGCUUUCUCCUGUCUCAGUUUUAAUUAACACUACUCAGUGCUUUGCAAGGACAGAAGUAAAGCUGCUCUACUUUUGAAUCCCUUCUUUCUGUAAAUCUUUCCUGUUCCAGUUAAGCUAAUCAACAUUCUUACAAUGCUUUUUCAUAUGAAACUGUCAUUAUUCUUUAAAAGUGCUGCUAUCUACCAAUUACCAUUUUCUAAUGCUUAUAACCGCUUAUAACACUUCUUUCUUUUUCAUUAGCACUUCAAAAUAUUCUCACCUUCUACAGUAUCUCGUUAAACUGGAAUCCUGAUUAUUUCUAUUGCGCUAGCAAGUGUGUCACUGGCACUAUAAUGGUCUUUUUUUCUAUUUAAACUAUCCAAAUGAAGUAAAAAUCAGUUUCAUUUCAUUCUUUCCAGAUGAUUCCCAAAUGCUUUUAUUUCAGCAUCUGUAUUUGUAUUAUACAGUCCCUAUUUAUAUUUCCAAUUCUACACUAUUACUAUAUUCUAAAACCUCUAACUUUUCCACCCUGGGAUAUUACACACUUCUAUUCAAACUACACAUCCAUAAUUCUAGUUUUAUCUUUCAAUUUUGGAAGCCUUCUCCAUGGCCUCAGGUCAAAUGCAGUGUUCUCUUGGGGGUCAGCAGAGAAAGUCUAACAUUCUCAGUAACCAGGGUUCCAAGAGCAAACCAGAUUUUUUCUGUAAGUAUCACAGCAAGACAAAUUUGAUAAAAAGUGACAAAAAGAGAAUGAGGUGGUUUUGCAGGUAUUUAUAAGGUAUGUGAGAAGGAGCUUCAUGAGGAAAAAUGUUAAGGUGUUUGCAGAGGUGGAUUUUCAAAAGCAUCUCAGAAAUUUCAGAACAUGCGUCCUACUGGUUUUUAGUAAGGCUGGUGACUCACAAAGCACUUUGAAAGGUGCAAGGUUAAUUUCUUUUACCCCUGAUCCACUUUUAAAAUACAGACAAAUUACUAUCUAAACAAAAAUAAAUUGGUUUACUUAAUAAGGUCAAGUAUAAUUCUCUGAAAGUCCCAGGUGCUGUAAAAUCCUGAUUUGGCCUUUGGUGAAUGAUUUAGACUGUUUACAGUGAUAUCUAUUUCACAAGCAACUUGAGGGCUACAAUUGAUCUUUUGCAAGGGUUCUAGGAGAGAGUAGAUAAGACAAACAUUAAGUGAUCAAGCACUAAAAGAAAGAACAUUCCAUACAUACAUUAGGCAUCUGAUUUACAUUAAGCUAAAUGAACAAACCAAGAACAAUUUAUAGCCACUUAAACAAAAAUUAUUUUCCUCUCUGUUAUCCACAUUUUCCUACAGUAAUUUAUGGCACUAUAAACUUUCUGUGUUCUUCUCAUUGCUUUAAAUCUUUCUAGGAAAAUGGAGAUACUCAAACAUAUGUAACAACUACAUGACAAAAAAGUGUCCAUCUUCUUUUAAUCUGGCUAAGUUCUAUCAAGCUGUCAGCAUACACCAGGUAAUUUUUAAAAAGAUGGGAUUGGAUCUGCCUCAUUUUUUUAAAAUGUUUUGGACACAAGUAAUGAGUUUUCAUUUUUUAGUAUUGUAGAUAAUAUGUUGUAGAGGAUUUUGUCUUAAAUUUAAAAAAAAAUCAUUAUUUGACUAUAUGUAUUUAUGUUUUGCAUGAAAUUUACUUUAAAUAGGUCAUCUCCCAGAAGAAUGAGACCAUUGAUCAUUGAAAUCAGGACAGAAAAGUCCAUAGUAUACCCUGACACCUGAUUCAGCAUAAAUAAGCUCUAUAAAUUCAGUAUAUUUGUAUAAUCAUAUGUUAUUUAUAACAUGGAACCUUUGCUUCUACACUGCACUGCUCAAAGCAUUUUCUUUCCAAUCACUUUCAAUGCAUACAGAGCAUCAGAAAAAGACUAUACUUCUCUCUGAUUAAAAGAAAUCUGAUACUGAAACUGGAACUCUUUGAGACUGUGCCCAACUGUUCAGAGAACCAAUUAUUUUACACAUUAACCUAAGCUCCCCUGAGCAACUACUGUGAGAGAAGAACACAUCACAUCCUGGAUUCAGAUGGAGACAAAAUACCACCCCUAUUGAACUAUCACCAGCUCCAUUUAAAAUGAAAUCAAAAUAAAAUGUAUUUACAAAAUUUCACAUUUAAAAGUAAACUUUUGACCCUGUACUGUUUUUCUGUACCCCAUAAGUUAUUUUCAUGGAUCUUAAGUAAGCUUGAUGUCUACAAAAUUUUCUUAGUGAUCCAAAUUUUAACAAAGAAUUCAGCUAUUCAACCCAAAUGAUGGUUACUAUUCUUUUUGUUGUUAUGCAUCUCAGUGCAUCCAGUACCACACACAAGGUAUCAAAGUACAGACAGGCUGGCUUUCUUUUGAAGAGUAUCACAGAUUCCAAAUCAAAAUAUUCUGAAUUAAGAUACAUGGCUUUGUUACUAAGAAGUCUUCAGGGGAUUUGAAUUUUGGAGCUGAAUUUAAAAAUCAAAAAAUUCCACAAUCUACUAGGUAAAUGAAACUGCAGCUGUGCAAACUCUUCAAAAAAUUCACCAAACUGCAUUGACAUUUCUGGCAGAAGAUAGAAACUAAUUGUACAUUCUAAUUACCAGUGUGACUGCCCCGUGUCUUAGGGCUAAAUUACCCCUUGUGAUCUGCUCACUUAAGUGUGAAAUCUUUAGGGAUGUCUGUACAAGGCCAACACAAUGCACUAAUGCUGCCCUACUCUUGGAGGAUUUAUGCUAGUGAAUCUACACCUGACUUCUGUUUCAUUAAACAUGUUUGCACAUUUUCCGAAAAUACUCUUUAUUUUCUUCCCCUCAUUAUUGUCUAGAUCUGCUGUAUUCCUCAUUCCAGAGCAGUUCACUUGCUCGGUGAAAAAAGAUGCCAAGAGAUAUUUGUGACUGAUGUACAACCAACAAAUCUAUUGAUGGCUUAAGUGGAAAGGAAAAUCAUGGGUAUUACCUGGAACAAAAUUCCCAGAAGCUGGGAAAACCAAUGCUUAAUCUUUGGCAAAAUAAUCAGAACAAAUAAAGUGGCACAGCCUGGGAAAUGAACGAGGCCUGACCAGUGGUAAUAACAGCACUAUGGCAGUAAGAGAAAAUACAGACUUUAUGUAGAUUACUCCACUUGGGAGGAGUCUGCACACAUCAGCAGAACAGCAAAGGUCCAGGCAAUGAUGACCAGUUAACCUUACAGAAGUCCCACUGAAAAUAAUGAGAUUUCUUUUGUGCUGCAUUAUCAGGCGUAUACUGAAACAUUUUGUUUCAUUAGCUCAGGGCAAGGGGUUCUAUACAUGCAAAAAUGCUGGAUUAGUGAGAGAAAUGCUGUAAAUGUAAGGUAAUAACUAGCAAAGGUACACAGAGAUCAUCACAGGAUGCAGAGAUAUUGUAAUCUUUUAAAAUACACACAAAUCAAGCCGUGGGCAAAUCUCUCAGAAAUAAAACUUUUUAUUCUGUGAAACUUUACUUUCUACUUUUUUUUUCUGAAUUCCCCAUAUAUUUUUAAACUUGUUUUUAAUGAUAAUAUGCAUUUAGUCCUCAAUUAUUCAAUGAAAUUUCAUCCAUAAAAUAUUAAAAAAAUAAAAUAGUUUAAAUAUAAACUUUUUAUAAAAUAAAAAUAUAACAUAUAUAACCAGAAGAUGUGAUAGCGUCUUUGAUAUUUGGUCUUGGACAAAUUACAUCCUUUUAUGGUAUUCUUUACAAUACACAUUGAUAAUAUAUGAAGAAGGAGAUGGCAGAAAUCUGUAAGUUUGAAAGGUGAUUUUCACUCAUACAAAGAAACAGCAAUAAAAAUAGGAGAUUUAUGAUACUAUUUACUCCUUCAUUAAGUAGUAGACACUGUGUGUGUCAGCCAACAGCUAACAGGAUUUCAGUAUUGGUUCUGCCAAGUGUCUCAUUAAAACCUGAUAAAAGAAACAGCAAUCUAACUUGAGCUAAACCUGCUACUUUUCCUGCUACUGUGAAGCAUGUUGCCACAUUUUUACAAAUUACAAUAUGUAUCUAUUUGGAUGCCUGUGCAACUACCGAACAUUUCGCAAAAAUUUCAGAACUAUCACAUCAUGAAAAACCUGUUAAGUCAGUUGUGCAUGCUAUGCAAGGAAGUAGAAUGCUUCAUAUUUUCUUCACCUUCUGAAUCUCUUCUUUCUUGAGAAAGGUGUGAUAUUUGAUAUAUCUUUUGAGGAGGAUUCAGUCACGUAUGCAUUGUUCUCUGCCACAGCCUCACAGCUGAUUUCCACAGUCCACUUUCUGUCUAAUUUCUGAGUCACAGAUGACCUCACAGGCAAUCAACUUUUAUUAUUUUCUGUCAGAUAGCUGGGUUGAUGUAUAACUCUAUUUCUAUAAACAGGCCAUUUCCUCAGCAGAUAUCUGAAUUUUAUCAAAUUUAUCAUUUAUCAAAUUAAGCUCUUCAUAGAGGCUCACUUUUCUGGGUUUAAGAGCAGUCUGUACUUAAAAGAGAUGAUCACCAUCGCAAAUUUUUCCCUGAAAACAGUAUGUAUCAUUGCACAUAAAUUUCUACAUAACGCCAAAUUUUCAUACGAACACACUCAAGUCUCAUUUGUAUUGCAAAUUUAUGUAUGCCAAGUAAGCAUCUGCAUAAGAAAAAUAAAUAAAAGAUUUCACAAAUUCAAGGGGUUAGUCUCAUUCUGUAUAUUUAAACAUCUAGGUUCACACAUCCCAAACAUAAAGGAGUUUAUGUCAAUUUAAAAUCUGGGAUGUUCAUCGUGAACAUUUGCUGCAAUGCAAGAGAAACGAGAUAUGGAGCCACCAGAAGUUCACUUUUUAGGUUGUCAGGGCUUGGAAAAGUUAUUCACUUACUGCUGAAACACAAAGCUGGCAUAUAGAUUGCCUCUGGGGUAUAGUUGUGAAUGUCUAGGGACCUUAAACCUUCUUGACCACUGUGAGACUUCACUGAUAUAAUUCUGAAUCUCACAAAGUGAAGAAUAACAAGGAGAGUCUAAUGCACAGGUGAGUUUCCAACUGCCCAAAUAUCAAUCUAACCACCAUUGUUUCACCAUGGCUAGUACGUUCACUUUCUUUAGGGUGUGCAUUGAGAUAGACAUCAGAGAGAAAAGUAUAUUUGGUAACAAGUAGUAUUGUUUAUUCCUGUAAGGGAGAUUGAAGAGAAAGA